Molecule: long non-coding RNA, 5163 nt
Organism: Alligator mississippiensis (American alligator)
Lineage: Eukaryota; Metazoa; Chordata; Crocodylia; Alligatoridae
Exons: 2
Source: RefSeq, a predicted model, not a curated record
CCCAGCUCUGAAGUGGCCCCUGUCCCCGGGGUCAGGUCUGCAGCUUGGAAAUGUCAUUGCUGAAGCCUCCUAGCAGCCGCUCGGGGCCUAUCUGCUCGGGUCCUUUGGGUGGGCGUUUUCUGCACAACUGUCUAGGGGCUUUGCUGCCUCUGCCCCGCUCCCACGCACAUCCAAGGAGCUCUUGCCCUUCUCUAGGGAGCUUUAAACUCAACCCAUCUGGCCAGGCUGAGGGCACGGGCUCCGGCCUGGCUGCUCCUGCUCCCACGCGACGCGGUGAGGCUGCAGACUCAGUCCUGCACACCGAAGGACAGACAAGUUCUCCGCAAAGCACGGGGAAGGGCCCGGCUUGGUGCAGUGCAAAGGCCCCUGGGAUGCUCUGGAGGAUUUGGUGUGGUGGCAACCAGCAAACCAGGCAGGGCUUUGAGUGCGGCCGCUCGUACCAGGCCAGGCUCGGUUCAGACCCAGGACAGCUCUGCUGCCGCGAUGCACCGUCCGGGGAGAGGCAAUGGAUCGCGUCACGCACGGACUGAGCCGCCCCCCUUCCAGCUCGUCUUACGUGGUGAAGACACUUUAUGGGGAGAGAUCACACGUCCCGUCAGUGGUACCUAUGUGAACCACCCUUUGCUAUAACCCUGCAGCCUAGAGCGGGGAGCCUAGGCCCGGAGGUGACCCCACGUCUCGGCUCCGCUCCCGCGAGCGCUAGCCCCCUCCAUCCUCUCCCCUCCUAUCCGGCACACGUAGCGACUUCUCCCAGGCGAGCCCCGUCGCGCUGGGCUGGCGCGGCGAGCUGCUGCUGCAUCAGGAUACAAUCAAACCCGCAGCAUUUGAUUCCAGAAUUUUUACAACUUCCACACCGUGUAGCCAGGCGCGCUCGCAGCUCCGGGGCUUUGCUGAUUGCAAACAGCAGCCCGUCGGCGACGGGAACAUCUGGCGGGAUGACAUCCUGAAAUGGAAAACAGGCACGAGGCGUGCUCCGCGGAGGGCCGCUUGCCCCGGGAAUUAACCUUUCGCUGCAGGAUCUGCGUGCGGGGCUGGCUUAGCUUUGAAAGGCAGUUUUUCCCUUGGCAGCCGAACCCGCUCCUUGCUGGAUCUGCCUCUGGCUUGAGUCUUGGCAAACCAGAGACCCACGGGGACCGACGCUGUCGGUACCCUGCUGACACGGCCGGAUCCAAGACCCACAAGAAGUUCCCCGCUGACUUCAGGGGACGCUGGAUCGGACCCCAAAUGUCUGUUCCCACAGCUGGAGGGGGUAGUGGUGUCUGGCCAGCAGGGUCGACAGGGUCCAGAGCGAACCCUGGGUUUAGUCCCGAUGUUUACACCUGUGGGCUGUGUGGAGGGGAAGCCCACCCCCAAGUCAGGCAAUUAAAAUCAUUUAAAUUUGUUGUUUAGCAGGGGGGGAAAGAGACUCUUUACUCCAAAGUCAUGUGCCAACACUUGGCCGGGAUGGUUUUGACAAGGACAGUCCUGCCUUGAGCGUGGAGCUGGACUAGACGUGGCCUCUCCAGUGGUCAGCCCGACUGUCCUAUGAUGCUCUUGCUGCUCCAUCGACGCCACGCUUGGGAAAGCGAGCGCUCGCAUGAGUUUCUCUGCCCCGAGCGACGCAGGAGUUGAGAGGAGAUGAUGGAAUUGGUCCCUUCUGGCCUUGACAUCUGCAAACCGAAGCAUCUGGAGCUGAUCACCCGCUCCGUGCUCUGCCAUCGCUCCUGCCGACCUCAGCGGGAGGUUUCCCAGCCACGGGCACGGGAGGAGGAUGUUCCACAGCAAUGCGUGCAGCCGGCCCUGCCUCCCCGCGCCGCCCGCCUUAGCGCUGCCCCCCAGGCACGUCCUAGACGGGGCCAGAGGAAUGCACCGCUUCCAGAGCCACCCUUUGAACAUUGGCACCCUGCCUUCGAGCACAGCAGAAGGGUUUUAAAUCAAGUAGCAAAGGUCUGAUCUCAUUUGCAAUGUUAAUGUGGAGAGGUUUGGAGUCCCGGCUGCAGAACCUCCUUCCUUUCCAUAAAAUCCAGGUGGCUUCAUCCCUAGCAGGUCCCAUUAGAGUAGCCUGGAAGGGAAAAGGGGCUCCAGUGUCCUUGGCUCAUGCAGUCAUUGGCUUCAUCGACUUUGAUUUCUCCAAACUGCUCCUUCCCAUCUGGGUAUUUCAGCUGUCUUGUGCUUUGGAUGAGAGGGACCCAGGCAGGGCAGAUUUGUGUUUGGCCCUACAUGGAGGUGUGUUGCAAACGUGCUAUCUCUGCUUGUAUAGGUUUGCCCCUCCGUUCAAAUGGAAGCAGCUCUGGCUAAGCUGAUAAAUGGGGUCCUGGCACGUUUGCACACCAGGCGACGUGGGCUUUCAUACGGGGCUUGGUUGGGUGUUUGAAGAGGGCGAGUCGAUGGGAUGUCAGUGGUGCAAGUGCCACGGGCAGAAAGGUGUCGGUUGUAGCCGUGUUGGUCUAAGGACAUAGGCAGACAAGGCUCUUUGGGUUCAUGUGUUAGCUUUUAUUAGAGCAACUAAAUAGAUUUAAAACAGUUCUAAUACAUGGAAAAUAGUCGAUGAAUUCAAUCGAUUUAGUUGCUCUAAUAAAAGAGAUCACGUUUGCCCAAAGAGCCUUGUCUGCCCACGGGGCAGAAAGGCCCUUUCAGAGAGGAAAGACACGGCGAAGGACCCGUGUUCGUGACGGGACUGGCCCCUGGGGUCAAAUCCAUCCCUCGCAGACACCGAUCCAUUGAAGUCGAGGGCUGCGGUGGGAAUGCAUGUGCCCACGAUGUGUAAUCCCAUUGUAAACACAAGCCCGGUCCCGUUCCUGUGUAAGUACAUGGCAAAGCUCUGGCCGGCUUCAAAGGGGAGGCCCGGGCCGCGCUCGCAUGCGGGGGGUUGUAUUUCAUGUCAUACAGCUUUGCUUUUCCUUUUUUUCCAGCCUGGGUCAGACCCGGCGAGUUCCUGCCGAGCCUUCAGAAGUGCCGUGAGCUUCCCCAGCCGCCCCGGCGGUGUAAACACAAGUGGAGACAGGCCCCGACGUGUGUGAAUGGAGCAAAGAGAAAUGACCGCCGGCUCGGGAGCAGCAGCGGGCUGGGCUGAGCCCGUGGCAGGAAGAUUUUCCUUCCAGAAAGAGCACUUCAGACGCAGGAAUAAGCUUUUAAUCAAGUCCAAAUGGGAGUCUAAUGGGUGCGGUAGAAGGAAGUAACACAUCAUCGAUCCUGCCACAGCAGCUCCCGCGCCUCGGACACGCUGAAUGUUUGGCUCCGUUUUGGCUUGCGAUCCUGCUGCGAAAUGCUAAUCCUGGAGCCGUGAGCUGGAUGGGCCUGGCUGUGCCCCGACCCGGAGGUAACAGAGUCGGGGCUUCUGCCCCCCACCCGAGCCCUGUUUGCUCUGUUCAAAAUGAACCACAGCGCGUCCUUCUCGAGACGUGCCACGUGCGUUUCCAGAGGACGGAGGCUGCCCCGGGCUCAGAGCUGCAUCUCCGUGUCUCGCCUCGCACCUCCUUGCCUCAGUGCUUUGCGUUGUGUUAGGAACCGGUGGGUAUUCGGGUUGUCUUAGAUGUUGAAUCUGACUUUUACAGGAGUCUAGUGGGUUUUUUCAAUGUACUAGUCAUGUGCAUUUGCCUUCUGGACAUAAAGUCUAUGCACUGUAAUCCAUACCUGAUGUAUGCAAGCACGCGGGCACGCUUGUGCUGUCGUGGGCACGUCCCAGAAGAGAUUCACGUAUACCCCACUGGGUAUGUGCUGCACGCUUUCUCAGAAGACAAGCAAUUACCCAGGGCCUGGCACCAGGUGAAUUCCAGCAGUGGCAUUCAAAGCAAUGCUGAAGGUGCACUGUCCUCCCAGGUUUGUCAUUUAUUUAAGCUCUCCAUCUUCUCCUCUUGCUGCUGCUCUGCCUCCUCCCCCAAGCAAACACGUUGCAUCCCUCUGUAGUCGCUCGCCACUCAAGGUUGUGAGGACGUGGUAAUAAAUUAAAAAUAGUUAAUGUAUUAAAAUAGCCAUGCAACUGCUAAGGCUUAUGUAUUGUGAGAGAGCAAUCAGCAGCAGCACCUGGAAGGUGUGGGAGGCGAGAGGGCAGAGAGACCCCUGAAAGACCAGCUGAAUGAGGUCUCUGUGGAGCACGCGCUUUCGUGAGCUCCGGUUUGCUUUGUCGGAUGCUAACAUGGCUAACGACCGACCGUUCCCUCUUACGAGGCGGCCAGAGCUUAAGCUUUGCUGCAUUUCGAGUCCCUCUUCCUCUGCUGCUGCCUGGACGUGGCGUAUGCCAGUGGCUAAAACCUCUCCGCGCUGCCUUGUGAAGGACUCAAAGCAAUGCAUCGGUUUGAUGCCUCAGGCCGUGCCCUGCUCCCAGGGUGCAAGGUAAAUCAGACGUGCAGGAGGAACGGCUCAGGCCCUGGCCUAGCAACACCUCCGUGCAUGAGGAGGGCUCUGGGGUGUGCAAGGAACUGCAGCCUGGCGCAUCGUUUGGGUGCGAUGCAUUGGCUUAUUAAUGCACGCUACUUCAGACCGUACCGCUCCAGGCCUGCUGCCUGUAAUGCGUCUGGGGGGGGGUCCCACUGGUGCCAGCACACGCCGCGUGCUCUUGUUUGCAAAUUGGCCAGUGCGGGGGUGCCUGUCCCCUCGGCGAGUGCUUUGUGUUUUAUAAGAGGACCUGGGCUUUGCCUCGCACGAGGUUUUCUCCGAUUGCCUCUUCUUGCCGUCUUAAGUUUUGAGAACAAAUGUGACUGAUUUUGAGACCUCCUAAAAAUAUAGCUCCAGGGUGAUUUAAGCUAAACCAUGUGCUGGGGGUUUCCAUGUUCCCAGGCUGGUUGUGCAGAGCGGAGAGACUCAAAUAUACUGCACGGACGACUGGGAGGGAGUAGGGGAGGGCUUUGGGUCUCUGCCUCAGUUUCCACCCCUCCUCUAACUCCAUCUCCCCCCCAGCUGCACUGGACGUGGGGCCAGAGACACCGAGAGACACCUGAAGUCAUUCCUGGGGCAGGUGCAAGCUGCUCUUGAGCUUUGCGUGACGGAGCAUAAAUCAGUCAUAAGGGAAGUCUGGGAGUCUUCAUCAUUGAUCUGGUUUUUAUUAACUUAAGAGUCCCUCAAAGAAAUACCUUUUAGGCUAAACAGCAUGAUUUGCUCAUUAAGCAGGAACCUUUUGUUUCCCCUCAAAUAUAUUGGCCCAUUGUCCCUUGAUAUACAUCCAAAAAUAAAUAGUUCAUAAAGGUG